CCUACGGGUGGCAGCAGUGGGGAAUAUUGCGCAAUGGGCGAAAGCCUGACGCAGCGACGCCGCGUGAGGGAUGAAGGUCUUCGGAUCGUAAACCUCUGUCAGCAGGGAAGAACGGUCACUGUGCUAAUCAGCAGCGAAUUGACGGUACCUGCAAAGGAAGCACCGGCUCACUCCGUGCCAGCAGCCGCGGUAAUACGGAGGGUGCGAGCGUUAAUCGGAAUUACUGGGCGUAAAGCGCUCGUAGGCGGUAUGUCAAGUCAAGGGUGAAAUCCCCGCGCUCAACGUGGGAACUGCCUUUGAAACUGGCAAACUGGGGUGUGUGAGAGGAGAGUGGAAUUCCAGGUGUAGGAGUGAGAUCCGUAGAUAUCUGGAGGAACAUCAGUGGCGAAGGCGACUAUCUGGCACAUAACUGACGCUGAGGAGCGAAAGCGUGGGUAGCAAACAGGAUUAGAUACCCGGGUAGUC
RNAcentral lists this ribosomal RNA (465 nucleotides) under uncultured bacterium. RNAcentral describes it as "partial 16S ribosomal RNA". It matches the Rfam family "Bacterial small subunit ribosomal RNA", at positions 338 to 795 of the family's 1533-position model. The record is from RNAcentral.